RNAcentral lists this ribosomal RNA (1378 nucleotides) under uncultured bacterium. RNAcentral's name for it is "bacterial SSU rRNA". It matches the Rfam family "Bacterial small subunit ribosomal RNA", at positions 38 to 1400 of the family's 1533-position model. The record is from RNAcentral.
GGCGGCGUGCCUAAUACAUGCAAGUAGAACGCUGAAGAGAGGAGCUUGCUCUUCUUGGAUGAGUUGCGAACGGGUGAGUAACGCGUAGGUAACCUGCCUUGUAGCGGGGGAUAACUAUUGGAAACGAUAGCUAAUACCGCAUAACAAUGGAUGACACAUGUCAUUUAUUUGAAAGGGGCAAUUGCUCCACUACAAGAUGGACCUGCGUUGUAUUAGCUAGUAGGUGAGGUAACGGCUCACCUAGGCGACGAUACAUAGCCGACCUGAGAGGGUGAUCGGCCACACUGGGACUGAGACACGGCCCAGACUCCUACGGGAGGCAGCAGUAGGGAAUCUUCGGCAAUGGGGGCAACCCUGACCGAGCAACGCCGCGUGAGUGAAGAAGGUUUUCGGAUCGUAAAGCUCUGUUGUAAGUCAAGAACGAGUGUGAGAGUGGAAAGUUCACACUGUGACGGUAGCUUACCAGAAAGGGACGGCUAACUACGUGCCAGCAGCCGCGGUAAUACGUAGGUCCCGAGCGUUGUCCGGAUUUAUUGGGCGUAAAGCGAGCGCAGGCGGUUUGAUAAGUCUGAAGUUAAAGGCUGUGGCUCAACCAUAGUUCGCUUUGGAAACUGUCAAACUUGAGUGCAGAAGGGGAGAGUGGAAUUCCAUGUGUAGCGGUGAAAUGCGUAGAUAUAUGGAGGAACACCGGUGGCGAAAGCGGCUCUCUGGUCUGUAACUGACGCUGAGGCUCGAAAGCGUGGGGAGCGAACAGGAUUAGAUACCCUGGUAGUCCACGCCGUAAACGAUGAGUGCUAGGUGUUGGAUCCUUUCCGGGAUUCAGUGCCGCAGCUAACGCAUUAAGCACUCCGCCUGGGGAGUACGACCGCAAGGUUGAAACUCAAAGGAAUUGACGGGGGCCCGCACAAGCGGUGGAGCAUGUGGUUUAAUUCGAAGCAACGCGAAGAACCUUACCAGGUCUUGACAUCCCGAUGCUAUUUCUAGAGAUAGAAAGUUACUUCGGUACAUCGGUGACAGGUGGUGCAUGGUUGUCGUCAGUUCGUGUCGUGAGAUGUUGGGUUAAGUCCCGCAACGAGCGCAACCCCUAUUGUUAGUUGCCAUCAUUCAGUUGGGCACUCUAGCGAGACUGCCGGUAAUAAACCGGAGGAAGGUGGGGAUGACGUCAAAUCAUCAUGCCCCUUAUGACCUGGGCUACACACGUGCUACAAUGGUUGGUACAACGAGUUGCGAGUCGGUGACGGCAAGCUAAUCUCUUAAAGCCAAUCUCAGUUCGGAUUGUAGGCUGCAACUCGCCUACAUGAAGUCGGAAUCGCUAGUAAUCGCGGAUCAGCACGCCGCGGUGAAUACGUUCCCGGGCCUUGCACACACCGCCCGUCAA